CUACUUCUGACGAGGAGGUGCAUUAUGAUCAGUAUGGCAGGAUCAUCAUAGUCCCUGAGGGUGAUGGGUUCCUCCCGAGUAAUAUUACUACGAGGAUAAUCACCAAAGCAACCAGAAAGCUUUAUGAUGCCCCUUAUGCGUCUUGGCGUGAAUUCCCAUUCUCACUGAAGGAGGCAAUUUUCAAUGAAUUUAAGAGCAAGUGUGUAUGGGAACACCAGUAUAGCGCGGACGUGGCUGCAAAUUUUAAUCUCAAAGCUCGCAAGCGGUUGUCGCAUUCUUUCUCCAUAGCUAGACAGCUGAACCAGAAGCCUGG
Molecule: non-coding RNA, 313 nt
Organism: Nicotiana tabacum (common tobacco)
Lineage: Eukaryota; Viridiplantae; Streptophyta; Magnoliopsida; Solanales; Solanaceae
Source: RefSeq, a predicted model, not a curated record